CUCGGUCCUGCUCGCUCUUGUCGCAGCGCUGUUUCUGCCUCUCUGUCAGUCAGCAGCCCCAUCCUGUAAUGCAUUUAGCAGCUGUGGGUUCUUUAUGACCCGAGAUCUGCGAGGACCUCACAGCAGCAAAUUCCGUGUCGCGCAGAAUAAUGUCACUGCAAUCAAUAAUUGCGUAAAGCUAUAUUCAACUGCAUCUCAAGUAGAAGCAUCUUCUAUGCUCCUGAUUGCUAGUGACCCAACACUUGAAUCUUCACCUCUUAGGCAAAGCCAGCUGGAAGCAGCUAGAAUUCUAAGGGUUGCAGUCACUCAGGAAGAGAAAUCACGUUUAAGAAUUCCAGGCAACCUCUCUGCAUUCCUCAUGGGUGGCAGCUAUCACUUGGAGGCAAGCUCCAUUAAAGGUUUGGGAUUUUUCUUUUCCUUACACUCAUCAGUUGCUAUUUUCAUUUGCAAAAACAUGCAUUUUGAAGUUGGCUAGACCACAAGCUGCAUUUGCACAUUCAGUUACCAUUAUUAAGCAGACUCCAUUUUUAUAUAGGAAGCAUUGACAUCCUGACUUCCCAGAGGAUAUUCCCAGGAAAGUGUCUGCUUGGUACAAACUGGUCAAAUCAUUGAUAAGUUUUCCAGCAAAGUUGUGUUACAAGAGUUAUUUAGUAUUCACACUAGUUUGAUAACCAGCAUAAAUUUAAAUAAACCAUUUAAAAUACCCCA
RNAcentral lists this long non-coding RNA (708 nucleotides) under Apteryx rowi (Okarito brown kiwi). Its description in RNAcentral is "lncRNA (ENSARWG00000011907.1)". Lineage: Eukaryota; Metazoa; Chordata; Aves; Apterygiformes; Apterygidae. The record is from RNAcentral.